UGAACUUCUGUAGUGCUUAGCCUUUC
RNAcentral lists this non-coding RNA (26 nucleotides) under Rattus norvegicus (Norway rat). Lineage: Eukaryota; Metazoa; Chordata; Mammalia; Rodentia; Muridae. The record is from RNAcentral.